Molecule: long non-coding RNA, 480 nt
Organism: Pseudophryne corroboree (corroboree frog)
Lineage: Eukaryota; Metazoa; Chordata; Amphibia; Anura; Myobatrachidae
Exons: 5
Source: RefSeq, a predicted model, not a curated record
AGCAGCGGAUAAAAUUGCGAAGGGCCCAGCAGCAGAGAAGGUGGCGAAGGGCCCGGCACCACUCGUUCGCUGCCAUAGCGGGGACCAGCGCCACAAGCAUCCAGCAGUAGGAAGCCAGGCCAGCCAGCCCCUCGGGCGCUAGCACGGACAGUGGUGGGUAGACCAACCCAGAAAGAACCCUGUACUGUGCCUCCUGCUCCUCGAAUGAGGAGGUGGCAGCAGCACUACCUCCUGCAUACACCAGGCCUCCCCCAGGCUUACAUUCCCCCAUACUACCAGAGGAGGAAUCUGAGGAGUGGCCCGACACUCCUGCACUACCAUCAAUGCCUGCUCCAUCAUUUUCGGUGGUGACAUCGGGCUCAUCCACCCCAACUUCGCUGACCCAUUCACCGGGACCGGCGGACCCGGCUCGUCCCGUGCUACUCCGGAGAAUCCGACAGUUGCUGUCAAUAGCAAACAGAUUAUUUUAUAGAAUUGUUG